This 634-nucleotide long non-coding RNA is filed under the name Capsicum annuum. RNAcentral's name for it is "long non-coding RNA (CANN_LNC004020)". The record is from RNAcentral. Lineage: Eukaryota; Viridiplantae; Streptophyta; Magnoliopsida; Solanales; Solanaceae.
CUAUACUUGCCAAAAAAUAAGAAAAAGAAAUAAAGAAAAACAAUCUUUUACAUAAAAUAAUGAACAAAUAAGAAACAAAAUCAAAAGAAGCACAUGUAUGAUAUACACCUGAAGUAAAAUUAAGUCGUCUAAAUACAUAAAUUCUACAUAUAAAAGAGAUAUCUUUACUUAUGGUUGAUUUUAGCAAGCCAUGAAAUCAUGUAUUCUUUUUAGUGACGAUAUGCGAGAAUCAAAGCCAGCAGAGCCUUUAGAUGAUCCCGAUUUAUACUUCAUAACAUUAAUUUUGCAGAUGUAAUCAAUAAAUAUUAAAAUGUUAGUCGUACAAACUUUAGCAAGAGGGAGUAUCAAAAUAAAAUUAGAUAGAAACACAAAAAUAUCAAUUGUACUAGUAUUCAAACACAAAAAAGUUACUCUACCAUUAGUAACUUUACAAUAUGCUAGUAUAUUGAGAUACAAACUAAUCACUCAAACACGUAUUGAUUAAUUAAUAUUAAUAGUUUAUAUUUAAAAAUAUAAAUAAAUGAAAGAGUAGUAAUUGACACAUUCAUUUUUGUACAAUAAAUAAAUAAGAAAAAAAUAGAAAAAAAUAACAAUAAAAUAAAUAUAAAAUGAUCUCAUUUUUAUUAAUAAUAUA